This 2900-nucleotide ribosomal RNA is filed under the name Klebsiella pneumoniae. RNAcentral describes it as "bacterial LSU rRNA". It matches the Rfam family "Bacterial large subunit ribosomal RNA". Lineage: Bacteria; Pseudomonadati; Pseudomonadota; Gammaproteobacteria; Enterobacterales; Enterobacteriaceae. The record is from RNAcentral.
UUAAGCGACUAAGCGUACACGGUGGAUGCCCUGGCAGUCAGAGGCGAUGAAGGACGUGCUAAUCUGCGAAAAGCGUCGGUAAGGUGAUAUGAACCGUUAUAACCGGCGAUGUCCGAAUGGGGAAACCCAGUGUGAUUCGUCACACUAUCGUUAACUGAAUACAUAGGUUAACGAGGCGAACCGGGGGAACUGAAACAUCUAAGUACCCCGAGGAAAAGAAAUCAACCGAGAUUCCCCCAGUAGCGGCGAGCGAACGGGGAGCAGCCCAGAGUCUGAAUCAGCUUGUGUGUUAGUGGAACGGUCUGGAAAGUCCGACGGUACAGGGUGAUAGUCCCGUACACCAAAAUGCACAGGCUGUGAACUCGAAGAGUAGGGCGGGACACGUGGUAUCCUGUCUGAAUAUGGGGGGACCAUCCUCCAAGGCUAAAUACUCCUGACUGACCGAUAGUGAACCAGUACCGUGAGGGAAAGGCGAAAAGAACCCCGGCGAGGGGAGUGAAAAAGAACCUGAAACCGUGUACGUACAAGCAGUGGGAGCACCUUCGGGUGUGACUGCGUACCUUUUGUAUAAUGGGUCAGCGACUUAUAUUCUGUAGCAAGGUUAACCGUAUAGGGGAGCCGCAGGGAAACCGAGUCUUAACUGGGCGUUAAGUUGCAGGGUAUAGACCCGAAACCCGGUGAUCUAGCCAUGGGCAGGUUGAAGGUUGGGUAACACUAACUGGAGGACCGAACCGACUAAUGUUGAAAAAUUAGCGGAUGACUUGUGGCUGGGGGUGAAAGGCCAAUCAAACCGGGAGAUAGCUGGUUCUCCCCGAAAGCUAUUUAGGUAGCGCCUCGUGAACUCAUCUUCGGGGGUAGAGCACUGUUUCGGCUAGGGGGUCAUCCCGACUUACCAACCCGAUGCAAACUACGAAUACCGAAGAAUGUUAUCACGGGAGACACACGGCGGGUGCUAACGUCCGUCGUGAAGAGGGAAACAACCCAGACCGCCAGCUAAGGUCCCAAAGUCAUGGUUAAGUGGGAAACGAUGUGGGAAGGCACAGACAGCCAGGAUGUUGGCUUAGAAGCAGCCAUCAUUUAAAGAAAGCGUAAUAGCUCACUGGUCGAGUCGGCCUGCGCGGAAGAUGUAACGGGGCUAAACCAUGCACCGAAGCUGCGGCAGCGACACUAUGUGUUGUUGGGUAGGGGAGCGUUCUGUAAGCCUGCGAAGGUGACCUGUGAGGGUUGCUGGAGGUAUCAGAAGUGCGAAUGCUGACAUAAGUAACGAUAAAGCGGGUGAAAAGCCCGCUCGCCGGAAGACCAAGGGUUCCUGUCCAACGUUAAUCGGGGCAGGGUGAGUCGACCCCUAAGGCGAGGCCGAAAGGCGUAGUCGAUGGGAAACAGGUUAAUAUUCCUGUACUUGGUGUUACUGCGAAGGGGGGACGGAGAAGGCUAUGUUAGCCGGGCGACGGUUGUCCCGGUUUAAGCAUGUAGGCUGGUUGUCCAGGCAAAUCCGGAUAAUCAAGGCUGAGGUGUGAUGACGAGGCACUACGGUGCUGAAGUAACAAAUGCCCUGCUUCCAGGAAAAGCCUCUAAGCAUCAGGUAACAUUAAAUCGUACCCCAAACCGACACAGGUGGUCAGGUAGAGAAUACCAAGGCGCUUGAGAGAACUCGGGUGAAGGAACUAGGCAAAAUGGUGCCGUAACUUCGGGAGAAGGCACGCUGGUGUGUAGGUGAAGUCCCUGCGGAUGGAGCUGAGACCAGUCGAAGAUACCAGCUGGCUGCAACUGUUUAUUAAAAACACAGCACUGUGCAAACACGAAAGUGGACGUAUACGGUGUGACGCCUGCCCGGUGCCGGAAGGUUAAUUGAUGGGGUUAUCCGUAAGGAGAAGCUCUUGAUCGAAGCCCCGGUAAACGGCGGCCGUAACUAUAACGGUCCUAAGGUAGCGAAAUUCCUUGUCGGGUAAGUUCCGACCUGCACGAAUGGCGUAAUGAUGGCCAGGCUGUCUCCACCCGAGACUCAGUGAAAUUGAACUCGCUGUGAAGAUGCAGUGUACCCGCGGCAAGACGGAAAGACCCCGUGAACCUUUACUAUAGCUUGACACUGAACAUUGAGCCUUGAUGUGUAGGAUAGGUGGGAGGCUUUGAAGCGUGGACGCCAGUCUGCGUGGAGCCAACCUUGAAAUACCACCCUUUAAUGUUUGAUGUUCUAACGUUGGCCCCUUAUCGGGGUUGCGGACAGUGUCUGGUGGGUAGUUUGACUGGGGCGGUCUCCUCCCAAAGCGUAACGGAGGAGCACGAAGGUUAGCUAAUCCUGGUCGGACAUCAGGAGGUUAGUGCAAUGGCAUAAGCUAGCUUGACUGCGAGCGUGACGGCGCGAGCAGGUGCGAAAGCAGGUCAUAGUGAUCCGGUGGUUCUGAAUGGAAGGGCCAUCGCUCAACGGAUAAAAGGUACUCCGGGGAUAACAGGCUGAUACCGCCCAAGAGUUCAUAUCGACGGCGGUGUUUGGCACCUCGAUGUCGGCUCAUCACAUCCUGGGGCUGAAGUAGGUCCCAAGGGUAUGGCUGUUCGCCAUUUAAAGUGGUACGCGAGCUGGGUUUAGAACGUCGUGAGACAGUUCGGUCCCUAUCUGCCGUGGGCGCUGGAGAAUUGAGGGGGGCUGCUCCUAGUACGAGAGGACCGGAGUGGACGCAUCACUGGUGUUCGGGUUGUCAUGCCAAUGGCACUGCCCGGUAGCUAAAUGCGGAAGAGAUAAGUGCUGAAAGCAUCUAAGCACGAAACUUGCCCCGAGAUGAGUUCUCCCUGAGACUUUAAGUCUCCUGAAGGAACGUUAAAGACGAUGACGUUGAUAGGCCGGGUGUGUAAGCGCAGCGAUGCGUUGAGCUAACCGGUACUAAUGAACCGUGAGGCUUAACCUU